CUUCCCGUCGUGCUGCGUCAGAAGUGCUCGGUCAAUGAGCUCCCGUUCCUCCUGGAUCUGCCUGUGCCCGGCCCUGAGUACUCAUGCGACAGAGCGAGUCAUUCUCCAGUGAGGACGCGUUCCCUGCCUUCCUUCCACAGAGGACAUUUGCUUCCUUUGUCUGUCACCUCGGCUGGCCCUGCAUCUUCCCAAGGGAUCAGACAUCUCCCGAUGUGUGCUUUUUAC
Long non-coding RNA from Hyaena hyaena (striped hyena), 225 nucleotides. RefSeq lists it as uncharacterized. The record is from RefSeq and is a predicted model, not a curated record. The transcript is spliced from 3 exons. NCBI's taxonomy places the organism in Eukaryota, Metazoa, Chordata, Mammalia, Carnivora, Hyaenidae.